UACAGGGGGUGCAAACGUUGCUCGGAAUUAUUGGGCGUAAAGCGCGCGUAGGCGGCCGCUUAAGUCGGAUGUGAAAGCCCCUGGCUCAACUGGGGAAGUGCACCCGAAACUGAGUGGCUUGAGUACUAAAGAGGGUCGCGGAAUUCCCGGUGUAGAGGUGAAAUUCGUAGAUAUCGGGAGGAACACCGGUGGCGAAGGCGGCGACCUGGGUAGAUACUGACGCUGAGGCGCGAAAGCGUGGGGAGCGAACAGG
This 253-nucleotide ribosomal RNA is filed under the name uncultured bacterium. RNAcentral describes it as "partial 16S ribosomal RNA". It matches the Rfam family "Bacterial small subunit ribosomal RNA", at positions 524 to 776 of the family's 1533-position model. The record is from RNAcentral.